Molecule: ribosomal RNA, 141 nt
Filed under: uncultured bacterium
Lineage: Bacteria
Description: partial 16S ribosomal RNA
Rfam family: Bacterial small subunit ribosomal RNA
Source: RNAcentral
CUUACUCCUACGGGAGGCAGCAGUGAGGAAUAUUGGACAAUGAGCGAGAGCUUGAUCCAGCCAUGCCGCGUGCAGGAAGACUGCCCUAUGGGUUGUAAACUGCUUUUACAGAGGAAGAAACACCCCUUCGUGAGGGGGUUG